This 292-nucleotide long non-coding RNA is filed under the name Mytilus galloprovincialis (Mediterranean mussel). The record is from RNAcentral. Lineage: Eukaryota; Metazoa; Mollusca; Bivalvia; Mytilida; Mytilidae.
GUUGUCUCACUGGCAAUCAUACCAAAUCUUCUUUUUUAUAUUUCACUUGUGUUUUUUUUUUCAAUAAAUUUCAUAAUGAUUGUAUGUCAUCAUAUCUACCAUUUGUCUACAUUGGUUGCUUAGAAUUGUUGCUGUUACUGAUAUCAAAUUACAAUAUAGAUUUCGAAGACUUCACUGUGAAUUUCAGGUUGAGGAUAGCCAACUAUGCUAAUUAUUUAGUUUUUAUCAUUUUGGUGUGCGCGUAGUGAUUUUUUUGUCAUAUAUUGAAACACUAUAUAGAAGGUCAAUAAAU